RNAcentral lists this ribosomal RNA (600 nucleotides) under uncultured bacterium. Its description in RNAcentral is "bacterial SSU rRNA". The stretch from base 1 to 459 matches the Rfam family "Bacterial small subunit ribosomal RNA", at positions 84 to 537 of the family's 1533-position model. The record is from RNAcentral.
UCUGCUGACGAGCGGCGGACGGGUGAGUAAUUGUCGGGGAUCUGCCUGAUGGCGGGGGAUAACUACUGGAAACGGUAGCUAAUACCGCAUAAUGUCUUCGGACCAAAGCGGGGGACCUUCGGGCCUCGCGCCAUCAGAUGAACCCAUAUGGGGUUAGCUUGUAGGUGAGGUAACGGCUCACCUAGGCGACGAUCCCUAGCUGGUCUGAGAGGAUGAUCAGCACACUGGGACUGAGACACGGCCAGACUCCUACGGGAGGCAGCAGUGGGGAAUAUUGCACAAUGGGCGCAAGCCUGAUGCAGCCAUGCCGCGUGUAUGAAGAAAGGCUUCGGGUUCGUCAAGUACUUUCAGUCGGGAGGAAGGUGGUAAGGUAAUAACCUUAUCAAUUGAGUAACCCGAAGAAGAAGCACCGGGCUAACUCCGNUGCAGAAGCAGCGGUAAAUACGNGAAGGGUAGCAAAGAGGUUACAUACGGGAAUUAAUCUGGGAAUCAAAAAAGGCCGGGCAACUCGAACAAGAGGCACGAGAAUCAAGCAAAAACGGACACGCUCNCAGAAAAUUGCGAUUCGCAACAUCCCACACNCGGGGGANACUUUUAACA